This 230-nucleotide ribosomal RNA is filed under the name uncultured bacterium. RNAcentral's name for it is "partial 16S ribosomal RNA". It matches the Rfam family "Bacterial small subunit ribosomal RNA", at positions 28 to 266 of the family's 1533-position model. The record is from RNAcentral.
GACGAACGCUGGCGGCGCGCCUAACACAUGCAAGUCGAACGGGUAUCAUGUAGAAGCUUGCUUAGACAUGAUUUUAGUGGCGGACGGGUGAGUAACGCGUGAGGACUUGUCAGUUACAGGGGGACAACGGAUGGAAACGUCAGCUAAUACCCCAUAAGCCGAGAGGUAAAAGGAGCGAUCCGGUAACAGAGAGACUCGCGUUCCAUCAGCUAGUUGGAGGGUAAAAGCUC